Molecule: long non-coding RNA, 158 nt
Organism: Lytechinus pictus (painted urchin)
Lineage: Eukaryota; Metazoa; Echinodermata; Echinoidea; Temnopleuroida; Toxopneustidae
Exons: 2
Source: RefSeq, a predicted model, not a curated record
CUCACUUACUCAGUCGAGUCGAGAUAGCUCAAGAUAGAGACGAGUAGCGUUCACGACGGCGAAGCUAAAGACAUCUUUUCUCGUAUUUCAGGGUCAAGGUUAAGACGCUUUCAUCUUAUAAAAAAAUGGAUUCUGAAGCAAGGUCUGCUGUCGGCCCU